RNAcentral lists this ribosomal RNA (620 nucleotides) under Salmonella enterica. RNAcentral's name for it is "bacterial SSU rRNA". It matches the Rfam family "Bacterial small subunit ribosomal RNA", at positions 1 to 612 of the family's 1533-position model. Lineage: Bacteria; Pseudomonadati; Pseudomonadota; Gammaproteobacteria; Enterobacterales; Enterobacteriaceae. The record is from RNAcentral.
AAAUUGAAGAGUUUGAUCAUGGCUCAGAUUGAACGCUGGCGGCAGGCCUAACACAUGCAAGUCGAACGGUAGCACAGAGAGCUUGCUCUCGGGUGACGAGUGGCGGACGGGUGAGUAAUGUCUGGGAAACUGCCUGAUGGAGGGGGAUAACUACUGGAAACGGUGGCUAAUACCGCAUAACGUCGCAAGACCAAAGAGGGGGACCUUCGGGCCUCUUGCCAUCAGAUGUGCCCAGAUGGGAUUAGCUAGUUGGUGAGGUAACGGCUCACCAAGGCGACGAUCCCUAGCUGGUCUGAGAGGAUGACCAGCCACACUGGAACUGAGACACGGUCCAGACUCCUACGGGAGGCAGCAGUGGGGAAUAUUGCACAAUGGGCGCAAGCCUGAUGCAGCCAUGCCGCGUGUAUGAAGAAGGCCUUCGGGUUGUAAAGUACUUUCAGCGGGGAGGAAGGUGUUGUGGUUAAUAACCACAGCAAUUGACGUUACCCGCAGAAGAAGCACCGGCUAACUCCGUGCCAGCAGCCGCGGUAAUACGGAGGGUGCAAGCGUUAAUCGGAAUUACUGGGCGUAAAGCGCACGCAGGCGGUCUGUCAAGUCGGAUGUGAAAUCCCCGGGCUCAA